RNAcentral lists this long non-coding RNA (25224 nucleotides) under Prunus persica (peach). RNAcentral's name for it is "long non-coding RNA (PPER_LNC002747)". The stretch from base 5697 to 5769 matches the Rfam family "tRNA". Lineage: Eukaryota; Viridiplantae; Streptophyta; Magnoliopsida; Rosales; Rosaceae. The record is from RNAcentral.
GAUUUGUAUGUGUACGUGUGAAUUUGUAGGGAGAUUACAUCUGGAACUGUUCCAGAUCCUGGUUCAAUAGAAGGAAAGGACAUUACUGUGCUUGAGGUACUAUUAAAGGUGCCACAUAACAUAUUGUUGACCUUGGCAAAAGAUAUUGGAGCAGAUUGGGACAUUGAUUAUGAGCUGGAUAUAGGCCUCACCAUUGACCUUCCUGUCUUUGGCAACUUCACCAUACCACUUAACAAGAAGGGAGCGAUCAAGCUUCCCAGCGUCUUCUGAUCCAUAUGACCUUUGGGAUUCUAUGGGUUUGGUUAUGUUCUGUAACUUUUCUUUUGUUGUUAAUUUAAGUACAUUAAGAUAUGGACUCUGUCUUUGCUCAGCACAGAGUGUUUUAAGUUUUUUUGGUUUUUUGUUUUCAGUUGGUUGUUAUCUUCCACCUCUAUCUAUAUGGGCAGAGGUUCGAAGUUGAGUAUUUGUGUUAAUCUUCCUUCCUCAAUAUUUUAUAAUAAAAAAAAUAUUUAAGUUUUUUAAAAAUAUUUUAUAUACCAGUGAUAUUGGAAGGGCUCUUAAUAAUUUAAUUAAAAAUAUAAUAAAAAUCCUAAUAAGUUUGAACAAAGCCAAAGUUGGGGAAUUACAAAGCAGGAACAAUAGCAAUGAGGGGAAGGGGGUGAUUAGGAGUAUAAGCCUUAUCAAAGUACUAUAUGCGUACUUUGAUAUUUAAAGUUAAUGUCGAUUAUACUUUUUUAAUGCUGAUAAUAGCUUCCUAAAUAUCAGUGUCUUCAUUAGCUAGAGUGGCCCUAAUCAGACAUUGUUAUAAAUCUAGAGAAAUUGGAGAGAAUUGAGAUAGAGAGAAACUGAUCUCUUAUUGAAUAUUUGUUCUUCACAUAUCUGUCUUACAAAGAGAAGGGGAAGGGGCUUAUUUAUAGGUAAGUAGAAGUGGGCUCCACCAUAUAUAUUUACAACAGACAUCUAUAUAUUAUUGUUUUUUAGGGACUAUCUAUGCUAGAAAGGAAAAAGUUCUAGCCUCCUCUCUCUCAAAAAAAAAAUAAAAAACUCUCUGAGUCCUUUUUAUUUUGAGGGGGAGGAAGUCAUUGUUCUUCCCCCCUUUCCGUUCUUCUUUUCUUCGCUUAUCUUCUUCUCCCAUUCUAAAAAACAGAAGGCUUCCACUAUUUGUCUUAUUUUAUUAUGAUUUUCCUUUAAUCAUUACAGACGGUUGAGUUACGGUGUUGGAUCUCUACUUGCGUUUCGCCGUUGGAUUUCCACCACCAUCCUUUUUGUGAUUUUUUUUAUAUAUUUGGAAUAAGUCGCAAAGACUCUUUGAGUUUUCUCUGUAGUUUUCACAUCUCCUUUUGUGAGAACUUUUCACCUUUCUUUUAUGAGAGCUUUUCAUAUCUUCUUUAUGAGAGUUUUAUUUGUAUUGUUAUGAUUUGAUUUUUUCAAGUUUUAUAUCUUUUUCAUUAUUCUGAGUUUGCAAUCUUAGUUGGAAUGCUUAUGCUAAAGUUUCUUCGAUCAUGCGUGAUCGUUAGUAGAGGCGCACAAAAUUGUCUUAAUUUUGAUGUUAAAUUGCUCUGUUAUUGUAAUGGCCCUUUGUGGCUAGUAGCUUUUUUGGUUAUUUAUGAAUGCAACCACAGAAUUUCUUAACUAAAAGAAAAAAGAAAAGGAAAAAGCUUGGCAGGGAGCCCAUCCUCCAAACAAAUAGAGUUUUGACACUUGGGAAAUUCCUUUUAUUUGUUUUGAAUUCCUUUUAACUUUAUUUCUUUCGAAAUUUUUUAAGUGUCAAAAUCUAAUUUAUUGUAAUGAUGUUUUCUUUCUCAAUUUUAAGGAGCCAAUCCAUGCUCUAGAAAAGAGCUGUAGUAAUUUAUGCUUUGAGAAGACACUGUAGGGGCUUUCGAAGGUGGAUAGAUUGGAUUUAGGGAAGCUGAGUUGCAGUGUGAUUUGGCAGUGGAAGCUGAGUUGGGAUUGGAAUUUGGACAAGAAGAAAGAGAAAGUUGCUGGAAGGACAACUUCGCCCUCAAUAUUGACAGAAAAAUGGAUGAUAUGUUUCAAAUUUGACAAUAGGGAGUAGAUUGACAAAAAAAAUUAGUUUGUAUCCUUAAUUGACUAAAAAAAGUUCAAAUUGGAAAAUCGAAAAUUACUUGAUAGUCCGGGACACAAUUCGGCAAUUUACUAAUGAAAUGAUUGCAUUACUAGCGUGUGUGAGGGUUUUGUAUAUAUGAUGGAUAUUCAAAUUAUUCAAUUAGGCCCCUUGUGACUUAUCCACUGCGACUAUAAAGGCACCCAAUUUUAUUUUUUUUGGUCGGAUAAAGGCACCGAAUUUGACGAUGAGAAUUGGACCCACCAUCCAGCCAAUUAAAUAGAACAUCACUCUCCACCGUCAGAUUGUCCAAAGUUAAAAAAAAGACCCAUCCCAUCUUAUCUCAACCCUUACUUUUAGUACAAACUUUCAUGUCAAGCAUCAUCAAUCCAUCACAGAUCUCUAAACACGGAGGAAACACGAGCGGACACGUAAGUGCCGACCUCCUGCCACGUGGCGCAAACCCAGUGCACCCGCUACCUCCUCUGUAUUUUACCCAAUAAAUCCAUUGAAGAUCCACCUCCUAUAAAUAGCUGCGAAAAUAUAAAUCUCAGCAACAAGGCUGCAAGUGCUAAAUCUAAUCUAGUGUUGAUCUCUUUGUUCGUAUUAAUAUUUUGUUGUUGGUGUGUGCGCUCUGAAAAUGUCUGAGUUGUUGGAAAAAGCCAAGAACUAUGUGGCUGAGAAAGUGGGUCAUGUGAAGAAGCCAGAGGCAGAAGUCACAGAUGUGGAUUUCAAGACGGUGAGCUUUGGAUCUGUUGAGUACCUUGCAAAAAUCUCUGUGACCAAUCCCUAUGGAGUUGACCUCCCCAUCUGUGAUAUCACUUACAACCUCAAAAGUGUUGGCAGGUUCCAAUUCUCACUUUCUAACACUUAGGGUUCAAUUUUUAUUUGUUUAUUUUUGUUAUAGAUGCUCAUUUGAUCCCUGUGUUUUGCUUGAAAUUUCUAAUUUGAUUUUUGUGUUUUCAAUUUCGUCAAUUUGGUCCCCUAUUUUCAUUUUCAUAAUGUGUAAGAAUCAAGAUUGUCAAACAUCGAAAUAGAUUACGGUCAAAUUAGGCAAAGGGAUCCUGAUUGUCAAAUUCAAAGCAUAGAGAACAGAAUAAAAAUUUGAACAGAACAUACGAUUGGUGUUGUGGUGUUGGUUUUACUUUGUUGGAAGAUAUCUCGAGUUCAAAUGCGAUCAAUACACAAUUUUUUGAUUUAAAAAAAAAAUAGAUUAGUUUCUAUGCCAUGAUCAUAUAUAUAAAGUGACUUGAUUUGUAUGUGUACAUGUGAAUUUGUAGGGAGAUUGUAUCUGGAACUGUACCAGAUCCUGGUUCCAUAGAAGGAAAGGACAUUACUGUGCUUGAGGUACUAUUAAAGGUGCCACAUAACAUAUUGUUGACCUUGGCAAAAGAUAUUGGAGCAGAUUGGGACAUUGAUUAUGAGCUGGAUAUAGGCCUCACCAUUGACCUUCCUGUCUUUGGCAACUUCACCAUACCACUUAACAAGAAGGGAGCGAUCAAGCUUCCCAGCCUCUUCUGAUCCAUAUGACCUUUGAGAUUCUAUGGCUUUGGUUAUAUUCUGUAACUUUUCUUUUGUUGUUAAUACAAGUACAUUAAGAAAUGGACUGUCUUUGCUCAGCAACCCCCUGUUUUUUGGGUGGGUGUAAUUCAGUUGGUUGAGCUCUUUCACCUCUAUCUAUGUAUGUAUGCAGAAGUUCAAAAUUCCCACACACCCAUGGGUAUUUGUGUAAACCCUCUCUCCAAUCACUUGUACUAAAAAAAUAUAUUGAAUUUUUUUUUUAAUGUUUAUUUUAUAUACAAAUGAUAUUGGGAAGGAUAAUUGAAUCCAGGAGUUUGGUCAUAGUAAAUAUUCUUAGUUAUUUAAUUAAAAAUAUAAUAAAACCGUAACAAGUUUGACCAAAGCCAAAGUUGGGGAAUUACAAAAGCAGGAACAACAGGGGAAAGGGACGAGAAGGAAUAUAGUGGCCUUAUUAAACAAGUAAAAGACCCAAAAUAUUGCUUCCACAACAUGGUGAAUCUACAGAACAAAUUCUAUUUUACCGGAUGGAAAUAAAAGGAACCCAGUUCUUUAUUUAUAUUUUGGAGCUAUAUACAAGAAAGAGAUGCAAGAAAAGGAUCAUGGUUGGCCAUAUAUACAUCAACCUAAGCUCUCCUUGUCCACGGGGAGCAUAACAAAUAAGCUCAAAGUUAAUUACAAAUUUACAAAUAUCUCUUCCUCUUCAAUAGUGAUGCAAAGAAGUGCAACUUUUGUUUCUUCUGCGUUUUCGAAUACGUUUUGGAAAGUGUCACAGUUAGCGGGCAAUGCCAAAAACUAUGUAGUGAACCUGGCCAAGGGCUUUUUGGAACGGAGAUUGUCUGAGAUGAAGAAAAGAUCUGCGUUUAUUGUGGGCCUUCAAUUUGAAAACCUAAACUUCGACUCCAUAGAACUCGUUUUCAAGAUCUCCGUGUACAACCCCUUCGAGUUUUAUCUUCCCGUCAGUCGGGCCACUUUCAAAUUAGAAAGCGGCGGCAGGUUUGAUUCAAAUUUCAUACUAUCGGUUGUUUAAAAUAAUGUGUUUAUAUCUCUCUCAUCAAAUGAUUUUAGUCACGUAGUGAUUGAAAUAAGCAUACCUAUAACACUUUUGAUCUCUUUCUGUGUUCGAUAACAUAACAUGCUAAACUAUUUGUCAAAAAUUAACGUCUUUUCGUGAACAUAAAUGAAUUUUGGAUUGUAUGAUUAUGCAAGCUCAUUUGGAAUAUAUUGAUUGUUUUCUACCAUAUAUGUGCAUGUGAGUGGAGCAGCGAGGCUUUAUCAGCGACGUUGAAAGAGCCUGCGUCACUGAAGCCGGGAGAAGAGUCCAUUUUGUUGGUGUUGGCGAAGGUGCCAUUCAGUAUGCUCAUGACCUUGGCAAAGGACAUUUCUGAAGAUGCAGAUAUUGACUAUGAGAUCGAUUUCAACAUCCAAAUUAAGCUUCCUAUCAUUGGGGUCGUUUCCUUGCCAAUACCUUGCCAACAACAGGGCCAGCUCAAGAUUUCUGAUCUGUUUACCAAUUUGUUGGAGGAAAUUAAUUAAUACUCUGUGAUGCCUUGGAGAGGGAAAAAAAUAAAAUAAAGAUCUCAUUGGUUGGGAUCCAUAAUAACCCAGAAGCUUAAGAAAUACAAAUUUACCAUGACUAUAUUAAUGAUGAAAUUAAACUUAUCAUAUAAAUCAUGAGCCAAGAAGACCAAGGGAUUCUUUUAGCUUGUGUAAUGGAUUUUGUGGAUUCUUACCCAAAUAAGACAGUUUAUAUGGGAAAUGUGUAUGGAGGGGAGAGUCAAAGACUCGUUUUAAUGGUUCGGCUCUAAAAUUACAAAGAGGGAUCCUCUAUAAAUCCAUAAGUACUGAAUAUUAAAUAAAUUUUUUAGAGCCCCAUUAUUUGGAAAAAUAUAAAAGCAAAUGCAAUGAUUAUUAAGCGGAUCACUAAAAAUUUGCGAACUCAUCUCCUACCAUAUUUGCUUCACUAAACAUCGAGUUAAGCCUACGUAUAUAGUCUGAAGAUUGAAGAGCUCCUUACUUCAGCUUAUAUAUGUUGAGUGUUGGCUAGUUAUGCCACGUGUCCCAGUCACAUUGGAUUGGUACAAAAUAAAAAAGUUUAAAAUAAUAGUCAGACGGGGAUGUAGCUCAGAUGGUAGAGCGCUCGCUUAGCAUGCGAGAGGUACGGGGAUCGAUACCCCGCAUCUCCACUUCCACUCCAAUUCUUCCUUUAUUUUUUGGUCCAUUUGUAUGAGUUUUUAGGAGACAAAGUCAAACAGUUCUUUGUUAAAACCAAAGGAUUUAUGACGUCAAAUUUUAUUGAUUUUGCAUAGUGGCUCUGUCACCUACCCGGAACAUACAAAAAUUUCUCAUUUUCUUUCCUAUAAAUUAAAAAAACCAUAUAUAAACUCCACCAUCCAAUUAUUUAUACUCUCAACGAACAAAUCCAUCUUAUUUUAUUAGUCCAUGUGGGAUUAUACAAUAUUGUGCUCAACCCCAUAUGUCAACACUUACCGUUAAUACAUUUUCUUGUGGUGGCUGGCCAAUUACAAUUAGGACAAUUUAUUCAGUAAUUACUAGACCAAAACCCUCUUUUUUUCUUAUUAAUAAUAUUUAUUAAUUAAUUAAGCCCCUGUAAGACUUUCCUCCUCAUGGCGGCUGUCAAAGUCUAAAUAGAAAACCAACCAGAGAUAUUCCUCCUUCACACCUUCAUGGCAGAACAUUCAAAGUCACGGACACGUUAGUUCACAAAAUUUUCCUCACUGCCUUUCACUUUUGGUUCUUUUGGUCACAACAAAUAGAGAAAACAUACAACAUAAAAAAACUCAUUUUUCAUGUUCAUAGUCUCUCAAGAACUCAAACAUGGCUGAUCACAAGGAUCAACAUCAGCAGCAGCAACCCCAUGGCUCAAAGAGAGAAGAAGAAGAAGUCAUAACAACAUUUUCUCCCACGAUAUUUUCUCCCAAGUCAUUUCCCAGGAGAAGAAGAAUCAAAUACUGUGGAAUUGUCAUUGCACUUGUUCUGCUCCAGAUUGUAGUGCUUGGGGUGCUUUGCCUCACUGUCUUUCGCUUCAGGGAUCCCAACGUCAAGCUGGCUGCAAUUUCUGUCGAGAAUUUCAGCCCGGCGCUUGGAACAUCCACUGCCAUCAACAUGACACUGAGGGCAGAAAUUAAGGUGAAGAAUCAAAACUGGGGAAAGUUGAAAUAUGAUGAGAGUGUUUUGGUUGUGUCACAUGAGGGUUCUACAGUUGGAGAAGGAACAAUUCCAAAAGGGUCUAUUAAGAUGAGGCACAGCAAGCAGGUGAGCGUUUCGGUGGAGGCAAAGCUUGAUGGUAUAUCAUCAUCAAGCAGUGAUAUUAGUUCAGGGGUUUUGAAUUUGAAGAGCUAUGCCAAGCUGAGCGGGAAGGUGAGUAUGGUGGGUCUGGUGAAGAAAAGAAGAAGUGGGGAAAUGAAUUGCAGUUUGACAAUUAGUUUGGCCAGGCAGGCAAUCCAGGACUUCCACUGCCAAUGAAAAUUCUGACUCGGAAGAGGAAGGAAACUUAUUGCUUUCUUCUUCUUUUUAGUCUGGAAUUUUUUUAUUGACUUUACAGUUUUUAUCUGGAGUCUCUCUGUUGUAGUUUUCUGUGAUACUUGUGCUGAUUAUUGUAUAUGCCUUUAUUUGUAAACAUUUUUUGUACUUGAGUUUUAGCAUGUUCAACCUAAACUAGCUGAAUGAAAUCUUCAAUUUGUUUUUCCUUGCUUAAUUUUCUUAUGCAGAGGCAAUGCAGAGAUUAAACAACUGAAUGAAAUCUUUAGUAAGUUUUUAGUACAGUCUGACAUACCAAACGAGCCCAUUACUGCAAUAAUUUGGUGCUGCUUUUAUUCAUCUUUUAAAGAUGGUUUGGUUUGCAGUGAGGAACCAAAAUCCAAAACCACCAUGGUUGAAACUUGAGAGAAAAAGUUAGAGACUUGCAGCAAGCAACAAAGACAACGAAAUAUCCUGAUCUGACUUUUCAAAAAUUGAUGCAAUUACUCCAGUGAUGGAUUCAUUUUUCUUUCCCUAGACCCUUAAAAACUAUGUUGCUUUCAAGGAUUUAGUCAAGGGAAAGAACAUGUAUUGAUAUUCUUGAAAGUAGCUAGCUAGGUCCAGCAGAAGCUUCUUUGAAUUUGAUGGUAGAUGUUUACGUGUUCUCAUCUCUAGUCUCCACAACUAAGUCAACUACAUUAGUUUGGAGCUUGAUUUUUGUAUAUGCACUCAACACACGCAAACAUGCAUGCAAGUUUUUACACCCAACUUUAGUUAUCUCUUUUUAUUUCUAUUGCUAUGCUUUGUUUAAAAUGGUUUUGGUGAAACUGAUGGGAAAAGUCAGGCCCGCAAGAUUCUAAAGGGCUUUGGCUAGGUUUGACAUGCAACAACACUUGUGUUUUGUCCCAUGGCUUUAAAUUUGACAGGCCCAAAAGGUGGGAAGUUGGGAAUUUGGACCGAUCCUAUAUAUGAAAGUUGGAAUCCAAUUCAUAAAUCACAUAAAACAAGUGUGGAACGAGUGAUUAUUUGGUCGAAACAUGCCAUUCUUAUAUGGAAUAACCAAUAUUCACCAAUAUUAUAACACAUAACAUGUAAUUUAAUAACAUUUCAAUACGUAUCAUAUAAUAGUUUCUCACAUAUCACCGUCUCAUAAAAUCAAAAUUAAAUUAAAUUAAUUGUAUUAGCUACACAGUGGGGAUCACCAUUUGUUUGCACUUGGUACCAGGCAAAGAGAAGAGGGUUAAAGAAACAAUCGCCAAGCAAUUAGUCACAUAGUGGAAGUAGUAGGUAAUGAGCAACAUCUAUCUUUUUUAUACUUUACAAAGUAAAACCUAGUCAAAAAGAAGGUUAGGCCUUUUCCGUUAUGAAGCCUCUUUAUAUUGUAGUAAUGCUGGUAGAUGAAAUGUUAUGAUGCUAACUAUAAAUAUAAAUCUCGUCAAAACAAAAGGGUGCCGGGGAAAGAAAGGCUUCCUUCCUUCCAUCCAUUUAUUUAAUAUAAAUAAAUGGAAGAUGAGAAAGUAGUUAAAAGUUGGUGGCACACUAGGGAAUAAUUAUACAAAUUAUAAUAAAGGAGAUUCAUUAUUAUAUCCAAUACAAGAGUUCAAAUUAUAAAAAAAUACUAUAUAAAAUGGACUUUAGAAACACACCCAAAUUUAUUUACAAUAAUUUUCUGUUUUAGAUGAUAAUGGUCAAUUGCAUGAAAUAAUUAUAUUUAGAAUUUCAUAUGGUUUGUCUCACUCAAGUAGGCACCAGCACUACCAUAUUUGACAAUCCUUAAAGAGACCUCCCGUCUGCAUAAAAUCAAUCACUCUCAGAAUUUAUCAUAUUAUUAGAUCGGAAUUUAAUUAACUUACUCUAGUGCAGCAAUUCAGUUCUUUCAUAUUUCAUUCAAUUAUCCCUAAAACGAUGCGUUUUGCAUAUCUACAAUAUCAAUAUAGAAAAUAUAAAUAAAGACUCUUCAUCACAUCUAACAAGAGGGGGAUUCAAACUUUGGUAAAAAUGGGACGAGUUCAAUACUUUAGCCAAUUGGCCUAAAUCCACAUCUACCUUCGUAAUUGUGUUGAUGUACCUAAAAAAAGUCAUUUGUUCAAAUUUUAUAUGAAUAAUAAAUCUGAAAAGAAAAAAAAUUCAUUGUUCAGAGUCUCAAAUAGUAGCAGCUUCAUACUACAAUUAUGUGUAAACUUUAGUGGAAGUCAAUAUUGAACAGCUUGAAAUAUUUUGGGUAGGCAAAAGGCACAACAAUAUGUGCCAACAUUUUGUAGGAAACUCAUACUUAGCCCAUACAUAUACAUACUCCCACUUCCCCCUAAACAAACACUAUAAAAAUACACUACAUUCAUUUACAUAUUAACACCAACUCUUCCAAAACCUCAGCUUUCCUUAACCCCUCUCUCCUCCCCAUCUCUUCUCAACCCUCUAGCCAUGGUGGAGAAGGAGCAGGUCAGACCACUAGCCCCCGCCGCCAACGGCCAGAGCAGCGACGCAGACGAGGCCGCCCUUCACUCAAAGAAAUUUGGACUAAAAAAGUUCAUCUACUGCUGUGGCGGCAUAACAGCCUUGCUCUUAAUCCUAGCCGUGGUGAUCAUAAUUCUAGCGUUCACUGUGUUCCGCUUGAAGGAGCCAAAGAUCAAAAUGAACAAAGUCACAGUUACAAGGCUGGAGCUGAUCAACGACAACACAACCCCAAAGCCAGGCUCCAACAUAUCGUUAACAGCCGAUGUGUCGGUGAAAAAUCCCAACGCGGCUUCGUUUAGGUACAACAACACCACCACCACUCUGUAUUAUCACGGCGUGGUGGUGGGGGAGGCUCAUGGCUCGCCGGGCAAGGCUAAGGCCCGACGGACCAUGAGAAUGAAUAUAACUGUUGAUGUCAUAACUGAUCGGCUCACAUCAAAUCCCAAGUGGGGGGCGGACGUGGGAUCGGGGUUAUUGACUAUGAGUAGCUAUUCUAGGAUUCCAGGGAGGGUGAAUAUGUGGAAUAUUAUCAAGAGACAUGUGGUUGUGAAGAUGAAUUGUACCAUGACCGUUAACAUUUCCAGCCAGGCAAUUCAAGAACAAAAAUGCAAGAGGAAAGUUACCUCUAGGUUUGUAGUUUAUUUAUAAGGUUUUUAUGUGGAGAAGAGUGAGUAGAAUAUACGGAGUAUAUGGAUGUAAGCUUUUAUAAAUAUGGUUAUAUGAUACGUGUAGAAUUGUACUUUAACUCAAUGGUAUAUCAUCACCAAAGAGUUUAAACGAACUCGAUAUAAAAGGCGAACACAUUGACCUCACGGGAGAGUUGUUAUUAUAUCGUUAGAUUAUUAAACAUAUAAUAUGAUACAUCAUCCCUUUCAUUAGUCUUUGUUUAUUCUGAUUUUCUUCAAUAUUGAAUCACUCCACUCCAGCACUUUGCCGGUACUUAUAGCCAAUGCCCAGAAGUCAAUAAUGGAUCAUAAAAUAAAAUAGCGUAUGUGUGAUGACAUGCUUAUGUAAACAGCUCUCCUAAGGAUAUUUAAACAAAUUAAUAAUUUUAGAUUAGUUUGGAUGCCAACGUUCCUUCAAUGGCAUUUGAUUAUUUCCAAGUGGUCUGGCUUUUGGGGGCCAAAUCCAAAUUCUUUGAUCAAAGAAGAUAGCGUUGAUCAAAAUAUCACACGUAUUGUAUAAAAGAAAAACAAUUCAAGUCGAAGCUCAGAGUAUACAGAGCUCUUAGCUAGAAAGGAGAAAGAUCUCGUCUACUUUCCCAACAUAGCAAGUUCAUGAACACUUCGUGAUCUUUUAACAUUCUAAAUCUAGGGAUUUUACUUCAUUUUUGUUUUCAAAAAUUAGUUUAUAAUUUAAUGUAUAAUAUUGAAAAUUAUCCACGUUAUAACACAUGUGGAUUGAUUAUAUGACAUGACAAUGUUUUUAAAAUACACACAAGUCUCCUGCUUCAUAAUACUUAAACUUAGAUGUAUGAAUGUCAAUGAGGUUUAGUCCACUGAAAAAUGACAUUGAGUUGCAGACAAGUUUUGAACCUUGUUAGUGUAAACUCAGGCCAUGUUUGGGAUUGCUUUUUUUCGCCAAAAACCUGCUUUACUUUAAAUUUAAGCAAUUUAAGGUGUUUGGUAAAAAUAAAAUAUCCCGAUUAUUUUAAAAGCAGUAGCCUUUUGACAGCAGCUUUUAAAAGCAGGCUUUGGGUUGCUUUUCAGAGCUGCUUUCAAAAAAAGUAGAGAUGAACAUUUAAUGAAUUUUUUUAAUUCCCAAAAUACCAUAAUUCAUUUUUAAAAAUGACACUACCUCCACUUCCACAUCCAACUCCAUCACUUGAACCACCACAUUCACUACCUCCACAACCACCGCCACUGCCACUAUUACCACCAUCACCACCACCACAUCCUUCUCCUCCUCAUCCUUCACCACCACCACUACCACAACCACCACCUCCACCACCACCACCACCUCUUCCACCUCCACAACCACUGCCACCACUACCACCACCACCACCACCACCACCACCACCACAUCCUUCUCCUCCUCAUCCUCCGCCAUCACCACCACAACCAUCUCCUCCUCCAAAACCUCCACACAUCCACCACCACCUCCUCCACCACCUCCACCACCACCACCACCACUACUAGCACUACCACCACAACCAUCUCCUCCUCCAAAACCUCCACACAUCCACCACCACCUCCACAACCAACACCACAACCACCACCAUGCUGCCACUACCACCACCACCUCCACAACCUUCAUCCCCACCUCCACCACUACCACAACCACCAACUCCACCUUCAUCACCACCACCACCUCCACUCCAUCAGUACCACUACCACCACAUGAUUAGUACAUAAUACUUUUAACAUCAUGUAUGUUUUAGUCAUUAUUCACAGUUACAACAAUUUUAUAUUAAAAUUUAACAAAUAAUUUUGACACUGCUUUUUGUACUGACAGCACUUUAAAAAUAUUGUUUACCAAACAUAGAGCUGCUUAUUUUACAGCUAAUUAUUUUCAAAGCACAUCAAAAGUAACUUUUUAAAAAAAUGACAGCAAUCCCAAACUAGGACUUAAAUUUAGACAUUUAAACUGAGAGAUCUGAAUACCAACCAUACUGUACUAAUAGCUUUAUUUUUCAUUUCUUAACUUAAAGAAAAAUGAAAGCCCAAGCCCAACUCAAAACCCAUAAACCAUGCAAAUACAAACAAAAUCAAAUCCUAAUAGUCGUUCUACCCACCACCCAAAAAAAAUGAAGGAAAAAAACAAGAGAAAAUUUUAGUUGUAACAUGGAUAACGCGAUUUUCUUAUUCCGAACAAUAAUGUUAUGUCACACAAAACUGUAAUCACUGCAUAUGAAUAGCAAAAUUGUGAUAUUCCUUAAGUUUUCCUUGAAAAUUAGGGUGAUAAUCACUACCACUCGCUCACCACUCACAUUUUCCCACCAAUUUAAUGCUGUCUCUGGUGUGAGUAUUAAAUGCAGCAGCUGGAGCACCCACCCACCUUCUCUCCUCUCACCCCCCAAAAAAAAAUCACCCAACUCCCAAUGGCUAAAACCCCCCUUCCUCCUCCCCUCCUCUUCCAAUGUCGUCCGCCCCAAACCCCACCCACCCCUCCACCCAAAAUUACCUAACUACCCUCGGACUCGGCUACGGCAUCGCCAUUGCGCUCGGCUUCCUCGUCCUCUUCUCCACUCUCCUCCUGGCUUCCUACAUCUGCUGCCGCGUCUCCCGCCACCACCACCACCCGCCUCCCAACCCGAACCGGAACCCGAACAACUCCGACGGCGUCAUCCUCCCCCGAAUCAUCUUCGUCGCCGAGGACGACAACGACCAGCAGCAGCAAGACGAUGAGAACGCCGUCGUCGGGAUCCACCAGAGCGUCAUCAACUCCUACCCCAAGUUCCCCUUCUCCAAGGAAGUGGCGGCCGCCGAUUCGUCCACGUGCUCCAUCUGCUUGUGCGACUACAAGGACGCCGAGAUGCUCCGGAUGAUGCCCGAGUGCAGGCACUACUUUCACCUGAUGUGCCUCGACGCGUGGCUCAAGCUCAACGGGUCGUGCCCGGUUUGCCGGAACUCUCCGUUGCCGACGCCCCUGUCGACUCCGUUGCAGGAGGUCGUGCCUUUGUCUCAGUACCCGGCCGAUCGGAGAUGGAGGAGGUGACUGAUUGUCCUGAUUGACUGAUAUCUUCUUUGGUUUUUAUCCUUUUAUUUUUUAUUUUUAGUUUGUUUGUUUUGGGUUUAGGGUUUUCUGUUUUCUAUUGGUGGUGUUGGUUUGGGAAUUGGGAAAUGUAAAUUUGGUCUUUUCUUCUUCUUCUUCUUCGGGUACUGAUUUUGUGAUAUUAGUGAAGUGGAUUAUGCACAAACAACUUGUGUCUCAUGGAAUUUGAUUAAUGUUAAUUACUUUGAUUUGGGUGAUGAUAAAGUUUUGGAAUUCAUUUUUAAUCAUCUACAUACAUGGUUGCCAACUUGCCAUGGAGACCCUUGUGAAUUUUGUUUGUCAUUCACUUAAAGCUUCUUGUGUGUUUUUCUUUCUUGCUUGGUACCUAAUCAUGUUGAGUACUUGAAAAAACCAAUCUAACAGUAAAUCUGGUACCAAUUCUUUCUUCAAUCACAAGGGUCAUAGGGUUAGGGUUGCUUGUGCUUCAAUUCAGCUUUCCGUAAGAUAUUUGCUAUUUUUUCUCGAAAGGGGGGGACUUGGAGCUUUGAAAAAAAGUCAAAUUUAACUAUGCAAGCAUUGUGCAGCAACAGUGUAGCACGUGUUUGUUCAGUGUUGCGGCUGAUCCUCUAGAUGUCUCUUAAUCACACUGCACAAUAACAUAAUUACCACAUUUCUAAUGUUUGAUUAAUUCACCCUUCACUUUUUUUUUUCUUAAAUUUGAAGGAAAAGGAAUUAAAAAAGGUGAGGAUAAAGAAGAACUGAUCCCCAUAUUCUUAAUAAAACAAGAAAUCAAUCCUUCUCAAUGACUUUUGCAUUCUGAUAAAGUGCUCAUGAAAAUCUGCCCAAUAAGCUCUUCGAUCAAAUAAAACAAAUGCAACCUUUGGACUCUGAUCUCAAAGCUUCCAAUCUCUAUGCACCCUUUAGAUUUGAAUUGUUGCUGAAAAUCAUUGGGGUUAUGUUUGGUUAGCGCUUAUUUCGAAAGCUGCUUUUCUUUUCUGUAGCAGCAUACAAAUUCCAGCUUUUCAUCUCAGUGUGAAAGAUAUGGGGAAACCAAAUGUUUUUAAUAAGUUAGGAACAUGGAGAGGAGGAGUUCGCAGCUCGAUCUUUGUAUUAAGUAUCUUUGCUCUUCUCAUCUCUCUUGGUACUUUGUCCAAAUUCAACUCUCUCGGAUCAUUUCAUGUCACUGAUACUCUCUGCAAUUAUGUAAACCCUGAGAGCCAAAGCAGGCCAGACAGCCAUGUGAGAAGAACUCUUGAAACUGUUAUUCAGAAAAUCCAACAAGAGCUCGACAAGUUCAGAGAUUCAGAACCAGAGCCGUCUUCAUCGAAACAUGUACUGAAAUACAAUUCCUUUCUUGCUGAUAUUUUGGGGCAUAUUGAGUCAGUGCGGACAUCUCUGUCACAGAAUGAAGAGACUCAUGAGCUGAACAGUGGUGCCAAAGACAUCCAUCCUCUCUUAAAACCGAAGCAGCAGUCCGAUGAGCCUGCAGAUUACUUUCUGAUCGAGGAGAUUCGAAAGUAUGUCAAGAUCAAGCCGAAUAGAUUAGGAAAGCAGAAUUUCAUGGGAGCCAAUGGAACUUUCACCAGUAUUGGCCAUGCUUGCUUUGCUAUGAAGAAAGAGCUUGAAGAAUACAUGGACUAUGACAUUGGUGAAAUCUGCAAUGAUGAUUGGAGGCUGGCUCAGAAGCUAAUGGUUCAUGGAUGUGAUCCACUUCCAAGGAGGAGGUGCUUUUCCAGGGCCCCAAAGCUAUACAGCAAGCCAUUUCCAAUUCAUGAGUCCAUGUGGAAGCUCCCUGAUAAUCGAAAUGUCCGGUGGAGCAACUACAGGUGCAAAAACUUUACUUGCUUGGCAAGCAACAAGACUCAAAAGGGGUUCUUCAAAUGUGCAGAUUGCUUCAAUCUUCAAGACCAUGAAAAGCCCAGAUGGAUCAAACCAGCAUAUCUAGACACCAAUUCAAAUGUGACUGCAGAUUUCCUCAUCCCUGAAGUGCUUAACAUCAAGCCUGGAGAGAUCAGAAUUGGACUGGAUUUUAGUGUAGGAACUGGGACUUUUGCAGCCAGGAUGAGGGAAUUCAAUGUCACUAUUGUCUCAGCAACUAUCAAUCUUGGGGCACCUUUCAAUGAAAUGAUAGCUCUUCGUGGACUCGUCCCACUUUACUUGACGAUCAAUCAACGGGUGCCAUUUUUCGAUAACACUCUGGAUUUGAUCCACACAACAAGAUUUCUAGAUGGUUGGAUUGAUUUUGUGCUGCUGGACUUUGUUUUGUAUGAUUGGGACAGAGCUCUGAGGCCUGGGGGUUUCUUGUGGGUUGACAGCUUCUUCUGUUUGAAGGAGGAUUUGAGUGAUUAUUUGGAAGCCCUUAGGAUGCUGAGAUAUAAGAAGCACAAAUGGGUUGUUGUUCCAAAGCUUGAUAAAGAUGAUAAAGAGGUUUUCUUUUCUGCUCUAUUAGAAAAGCCGGGUAGACCUUUCCGGUAAUCUUAGAUUUGAUCUUAAUUAUGUCUGCUAAUCACAUAAUUGAUCUUAUGUCUGAUAAUCUUUAUUGUGUUUACAUGAACUUAAAAUUUUGAAUAUGAUUUCAUUUCCAGUUAGAUGAGGUUCAAUGUGAAUGUGAUGUGUAUGCUUAGUUUUUUCUGCCACAAGGGAAAAGUUUCAGCAGAGUCCAUUUUUUCUUGUCAAAAAAAUAAUAAUGACCAGAAAUUAGAGGAGUUCACACGGCCAUUUUGCAUUGUAAGAGCUGUUUGUCAAUUUCAGUCAUCAAUUUUCCCAUUUUUCCUUGCUGCAGAUAAGGGUCCACAAAUGUCAAGUCGAAGAAAAAGACACUAAUAUUAGGUAUAUUGUUUUGCGGACCAGUAGCAUGAAACUUGUAGAUGUAGCGGUUGCCCAACUUCAAAUCUAUUCAAAAUGUUAGGAUUAGUAGCUUAUAUUUUCUAGUCGUUGAUAAACAUGAGACUCGUAAUGCAUCAACGCAUGGGUGACUCUCUAGUCAAAUUCUUGCCAAAAACAUGAAGCCAAAAUAAAAAAUAAGAGAGCCUGCAUCUUGAAGGGUCCUGUGACAUGAGGGCAGGAAGAGUCUUUGUGAUCCACGGGCUUCAGGCCCCUCAUUUGAUAAUUGUUUGCAAAUCAAAUAGCUGCAAUUUUUUUUCUCUUGCCAAAUAAAUACUACUGCAUGAUAAAGAAUGGACAUCUAUCAUCAUUUUCAUUUCAAGGGUAAAAUCUUGAUUGAUUGUGACUCAAAUGUCGACAGUCGAUGCACAUUCUUUUUAACGGACUCGGAUUGCUGUCCAGUGGGCCGACUGGCCCAGAGCUCUACCAGAAACUGGCGUAUUCCGCCAACCAGAAAGAUUCCAAGGUCCCAUGCCCAAGAAAAGAUAAAGAAGAAAGAUUCAAAAGCUGCAUUAACAGCUUAAAAGUGUAAAAACCCUCUUGUAAAGUUUAAUAAAUUACAAACAAUUAUCUUUCAUCUGGAGAGUUAAUUUGUACUCGAAUCAAGGUAAAAUAAUAGCUAACAAAAUACUUUAGAAAGUUGAAACUUUACAACUUUCCUAUUUUAGUGCUUAAAAGUAAGCCUAAAAGCUCUGAGUUAUGAUGCCGACUCAUGCCAAUUUUAUUUACCGUGCAAAUUUGGCAUCUUUUUUUUUUCCAUCCUAGAUCUUAGGUUUUGUCUGAAGCGGAAAAUAAUAGCUCUCAAUUAUUAAGGAAAAUAAAUACCACUUCAAGAAAUAGUGGCGACUUUGACAAAAAAUCAAAAGAAAAACGAAAUAGUGGCAAGUCAUGCUAAAACAAAUUACUCAGACAUAUUUUCGGUGAGAAUUCAAUUCACGAGCUUUCAAUGCCUAAAUUAUAGACUUUUUUGAAGUAGAAAAAACCUCUUGUUCAUGUGUAAAACCUACCAACUGUUCAUACAAUUAAUUUUUGUUCUACUUAAUUUCGUUAUAAACUUGACAAAGUUUUAAAAUUUAAAUUGAUCCCUAAAACCAUCCCCAUCACAAAACAAAAAAAAUGAAGGGAAGUAAACAACAUCUGAAUCUAUCUCUAAUUCUCUCCAUCACACACACAUUACGUGGAGCCCUCUAAGAAAAGUGGACCCCACAACCCACCCACGAAAAAAAGUCACCCGACCGUCCAAACCACUCAUGUCUUGAUUGCUCCGCGCCACGUGGUUCGCAACCUUUCAAACCCAAGUCGGUCACUUUACCAUUUCAAAUUUUACCGGACCAACUGGCUCAGGACCCGAACCGCAAGGCUCGAGCAAAUCAACAAAAUCAACGGCCCAGAUCUAGUCUCGUGUCCCGCAACCUUAUAUAGCUCGCUCUUAUCCCAACCCCAAAACCCUACUUUACUCUCUGUUAUUAGUUCGGUCACUCAUCUGAAAGUUUCGGGAGAUUUCAUUUUCAUUUAUAUUUUUGUUUUUGGGGUUUCGGAGAUCAUGGCUGACCAGUCGGAGAGUGCCGGUUCGACGGUGGAGCACGAGAAGUCACUGAUGGAGAAGAUCAGCGAGAAGAUCCACGAUCAUAACUCGUCGUCUUCGUCGUCAUCUGACUCGGAUAACGAGAAACCGGAGUCGCCCAAGUCUGAGAAGCCCAAGGUUUUCAGGAUUUUCGGGAGGGAGAAACCAGUUCACCAUGUUUUCGGUGGAGGAAAGCGUACGGACAUCCAUUCUCUCUCUAUGAAGUUUUUUAUUUAUUUUAUUUUAUUUGAAACUAAGAAUCAUAUCUUUUAGAAAAAAAAAAAUUUGAACAUUGUCUUUUGAAAGAAGUGAAACGAGUAUACCAGUUUGAUUUGUGUGUGGAUUGUGUAGGUUGUAGGUUGAUCUGAGAUCGUGAUUAUUUUUCUUGGUUAGAUGCUUUUAUGCUUUGUUUGGGUGCUGAUAAAAUUUCUGAACUUGUGGGUUUGAUUUCUUAUUUCUUCUAUUGUUGUGUUCGGAUGCUAGGAAACUGUAGAAAAAAAAAUAUAUGGGCAGGAAGAUGCGAACGUUUGUGUUUUUCGAGUAGAAAUAUAGAGUAACUUAGUUCCUUUUUCUUCUUAUAUAUCUUCUUUUGCAAUGGUUCCGAUCUUCUUAGUUGAUCUGUUAAAACACCUCAUUUACUUUGAUAUUUGGAUCUUCAAUGCCGUUUGGUAACUCGGAUGCUCUGUCUUUAGUUAUCACAUUAGAGUUCAGACUUCAGAUUUUGACAUUUCUGAAAUGUUGCAGCUGCUGAUGUGUUCUUGUGGAGAAACAAGAAGGUUUCAGCUGGUGUUCUUGGUGGAGCCACUGCAGUCUGGGUCCUUUUUGAGUUGCUUGAGUACCACCUACUUACUCUUGUUGGCCACAUUUUGAUUGGUACCCUUGCGGUCUUGUUCCUCUGGUCCAAUGCUCAUUCUUUUAUCCACAAGUAAGAUACUUGGUUUUUCCAUUCAUGGUUUCAUCUUCUGGGUGCUUGCAUAGGAUCUGAAUAUAAUUUAUGGUUCUGUUUCGAUCUUUGCCUUUUAAGUUAAUAAAUUUGCUUUUGUAGGACUCCACCUCGCAUCCCAGAAGUUCAUCUUCCUGAGGAACCAUUCCUGCAGGUUGCUUCUGAGCUGAGACUUCAAAUCAACUGGGCUUUUGCGGUCCUUCAUGAUAUUGCAUCUGGCAGAGAAUUGAAGAAAUUCCUGAUCGUAUGUAGAAUUGAUCUCUAUAACUCUUUUUGAUAAGCUUUUCAAUCAGUGUAUGGUGACUAGAUUGGUUAUUUAAUGGGUUUAAAGUUUAAACAGCUUAAUGUGCCUAGUUUAUUGUCUCAUCAGGAUUACUAGUUUUUAGAACUUGUUGCUAUGCUAUAAUUCUUAUACAUAAACUUAAUUUUUUAAGUUUGCUCUGAUAAUGUAUUGUCGAUUUCAGGUUAUUGCUGGCUUGUGGGUUCUUUCAAUUGUGGGGACUUGGUGCAAUUUCUUGACCUUGUUUUACAUAUGUAAGGACUAUGGAAAACUUGUGUUGUGUGCACAAAUUUGUUUCAUUUAUUAUUGUACUGAUUUUAAUAAUCCUCAUUUUGUAAAACAGCUUUUGUUUUGCUGCACACGGUGCCUGUCAUUUAUGAGAAGUAUGAAGACAAGAUAGACCCAUUUGCAGAGAAGGCAACUAUUGAAUUCAAAAAGCACUAUGCAGUGUUUGAUGCCAAGGUUCUCAGUAAGAUUCCGCAGGGGCUGAAAAACAAGAGGUCUUAGAAAGUCUGAAGUGUUUUGUUGUGCUUUAAAAGCUCUAGGUUUUGUAGUUGAGCUUCCCAUGCUGUUCAAGUGUUUGGGUUUUGUUAUUCAAAUGACUUUAUGUGGUCUUAGUUUCCAGAUUUAGGUUUGUGAUGUGCUUAUACGUAAUCAUGGGAAGCCUUUAAACAGCACAUUAGCCAUACGUUUAUUUUGACAACUUUAUGCUAUCCAAUUCUGUCUUGUACAUGGGUUGUCGCUUAUAUGAACAGUUAUGGUGGAUGUUAUUUCAUGCUGCUUCUCCUUUUGGUUGCGAGCAUGAUAUUUUGGUGCUUAAGUUUUAUGAAAGUUUAGCAUUGUGUCCCAAACAUACCUAAAUUAAAUCAGGUGGCUGUGGCGUGCUUUGAUAUAUUGCUAGUGUUUCAACUUUAUUCCUUAUAUGAAUUGAUUACCUAAAUUAAAUCAGGUGGCUGUGGCGUGCUUUGAUAUAUUGCUAGUGUUUCAAGUUUAUUCCUUAUAUGAAUUGAUUAUCUAUUUGCAUUUGGUUUAGAUUUUUGGGCAUUUGGUUUAGAUUUUUGGACAUCUAGUUAGGCACUUUGAAAUGUGGCAUAAGCACGUGAGCUUGACAUGUUUCUGGCAAUGGAAAUGUUAUUCUUCGUUGAGUAUCGUGUAACGUUUGCUCUAAACUCAUCCUCUCAUUCUGAUUAUAAUUCAAUGUUGAUAGGAUUUUAGAUUUUGUAAUGCGAUUCUUCAACUCAAAUUUGUUGAAUUUGUUUGGUUUGACCUUAAAAAUGACCCGAAUGUUAGUGUAUAGGUUCAAUCCUAUCAAACAGAAUUAUGGAAUUGGUUAGGGUUAAUUUGAGAGUGAUUCCGGAUAUGACAAAAAUCACUUUUCAUGUACUUGUACAUAUGAUCACUUUAAAUGGGUGCGGGAGUUACAUUCAACAUGCCAUCAAGGAACGUAACUCUGCUGCUGAUAUGCUUGCUUUUAUUGGGAUCUCAGAGAAUUUUUUUAUUUGGUCGAAAUCUCUACUCGUCUCCAUAUUUGGGACUCUACCCCGGCUGCUGUGAGACAAUUAAUGUUUAAUGAUUUGUGUAGGGUUUUCUACCCUUAAAUAAGUUGCUGUUUAGUGUUUGUGUUGGGCUUCAGCCCUCCUUGUUACCCAAAAAAAAAAAAAGGAACUUCGAAUGGAUUGUACAUUGUGAGCCAAUAUUUUCUCAAUAUAUGUAUAUGGUUUAACGUCCAAACAAAGAUUUCAGCCGGUACCAAAGAUUUCAGACGGUACCGAAAUUCUCAAUAGGCUCAGAGGGACAUGAAGGAAGACAGGAGAUUCAAGUUGGGUUGAAGAAUACAGAGUUCUGAGCAAAUCUUUCUCACUGUUGCAUCGAUUUCACAAAUUUUCCCACUGUUGCAAUUAUGCUGGGCAUCCACGCCUCACAUUCGUUUUACAACUUUCCACUUGUUUAACUGGCUUGUAAAUUAAAUUAUCAGACAACCAUGCACGAAGUCAUUUGAGUGAAAGAAUUAAUUGAACAAGAUUGCUGGGCUACAAAAUCAAACAAUGAUCUAUACCUUUGAUUAAUUACAACAUACAACGAAUCUUCUUCAGUAUCUUGGAAGGAGUCUUGAGGCAUAAGGAUUGCUUUCCGCCGAUGUGAGAGGGACUGUUGAGAAUUCCGAAUCAGAAUGCUCCGACCGAAAGUUACUGCGGAAAGGUAAGGGGCUUGUAUUUUGGAUUGGCGAUAAGUUGAGUCUUGAGAAACCCGACUCAGUACCACUGGUGGAAGUCCUAUGGUCAGGUUCCAUCGGAACGGCUUGUGCAGAGGUUGGAGUCUUGUGUGAAUCUUCUUGAGAUCUGCCGGAAUCGUCUGCAGACUCCCUUCUCUCCCUUUCUUCAGUUUCUUUGAGCAGAAAAUCAACCCACAGAUCUGCAAAGGACUGAACAUAGCAGAGAACAAAGUUAAUGGAUGCAACUCCAUUAAGUAAAUGCGGACCUAACACAUUGAUAAAGAAAAGGCACUCGGAACACUUUUCAGGGCAGCUUAUUGGUUGGAAAUUAAGAGGAAAAACAAAUCAUGUUUUAACAAAUAGAAGCACGCAGGAGCUAAAUGUAGAACGACACAUCGGAAAAAACCACCAAAUUAAAGUACAGCAAAUACGGAACAAAUUAAAAUACCCAAUGCGAUUUGAAAAAACACUAGUUGGAAAUCAAAGUAUACCACCAAAUAAUCUUUUAAUUGAAAGGAGAAAAGAAUGGUACAUGGUUCUCAGAUGCCGCAUUUGCAGAUGCUCCAGCUGAACCGCCGCCCAAAAUGCCACCAACGAGGCGGCCAGGCAGACCAAAAACUCCACGAACAACACCUUUACCUGCACCUUGAGAGACGCCUAUUCUCUGCUUGUCUUCAUCGGAGAAUCCCAGCAUGCGAGCCAUAAGAUCCAGUACCUGGACAGCAGCAGCAGAAAAACUACAUGAGCCUGGCCAUAUUAAAAACUAAACCAAUUGUCAUGGAUCAGUACUGCACAAGGCUGGAUAGGGGUGGGACUUGACAAGCCAGAACUAAUAAGUUCUUGCAUAAAGCAAACAUGACAAAUUCUUGCAUCAGUAGCCCCAUCAUGAAGCUAGUCUAGUAUCAUGAAAAAAUUUCAUACCUCUUUACUGUAAUUUCUCUGAAAGUAGGUCACCAGUAACUUGAUCACAAUGCGUCUGUGACAAAAACCAAUCAUCAUUAACAUUGCAAUGCACUCUUUCAAUAAAACAGCAUUAUUAUUAAUAAAAUAUUGUAAAUAAAUUCAACCAAGAAUUCUCUCCAACAAGGUAGAUACAGCACUUCUGUAAAACAAAAGAAGAGAGCUGCCAAACACUCCAGACACAAAGCCAUAACCCAUAACUGAAUUUUGAAGGCAAUGUCAAUACUCCAUAUACCUAAAACCCGAUAGAAGGCCAGGAAAAACAGACCAACCUGUCAACAAGAUAAUCUGAAUCUAUUGACAUCCUAUUAAGCCUGGUCAUGCUCUGUUCAACAGCUCGCCGUAACUUUGCAUUGUCUUCCUCCAGUUUGUUUACUCGGUUUUUCCAGUCUACUACUAUCUUCUCAGCUUGAGAAAGCUUGGACAAGAUUUCUUCCUUUUCCCUCUUUGAUGCUUCUGCCUGAUGAUCAGCAUCCUGGUAAAAUCAUAGAACAUUUUGACUCCGAUUAUUUUGUGUGUUAGUACUAGAGAAGACCAUCAGAACAUACAGAUCUUAAAUUCAUUAAGUGAUGCAACUUUAUAUAAAAUAAGUAAUUAUCUUCUUGUUCUUCCUAUCUCUCCCCUCAACUAACAAAGGAAGGAACAUGAUUUGCAUGAUCACAAUUAUGGGGCACCAGUGUAAUAAAUGCAUUGCAGGUAAUAUUAUAUAGCACCACAAGCAGAUUAAAAAUUGCAUAAUAUAACAGAAUCGUAUUCUGACAAUGCAAAGGAAAAGGAAGAGAACAUACUUGCAAGAGCUGAUAAAGUUUAGCCAACUCUUCCCUUGCCCGUGCCAAAUCUCCUUCCAAAUGUUCCUAUACAGAAAAUGAAACUUGCAUAAGAAACAAAUAAAAAUUCUGAGGACUCAUAAUUCAACACAAAACAUUUCAUGUGCCUUCCCAUAUAGACAGACAACAAAAUUUGAAUUUCAUUACCUUAGCUUCAAUUUCAGCAUAGUAUUGACCAAGAGCAGUUUGAAGAUUCAAAAGUUCAACAUUUUUGGCAUCUAUUGUGUUCAUACAGCUUUCAAGUCUUUUAUUCAGAUCAUCAAUAAGUUCCUUUGAUUUCUGAAAUUCGUUAUUGUUGAUCAUCUUCACUUCAUCCUGUUUUGCAAUCGCCUGCUUCAGAGCUUUCUCCAAAUGUAAUAUUUGAGCUCUUCGAUAUUCGUUACUUUCUCGAAGUUCCUCAAUGACUUUGCUGUCUUCAUCCAUUUUUUCAGACUCUUCAGAUUCCUGCACGAAGUAUAAGCCAAAAGAAAAAAUCCUCGUCAAUAAUUUUCCAUGACAUUUUCACUUGGUAUAUACAGGAUGACAAAUCCACCAAGAAUGUUUCCCGUGCAAUAUAAAACGGUACUCAUAAAUAAUACGAACAAAAUAAAGAGUUCCAUAUCCAAACUACCAAAAUUAUCUGUACACAGUAAAUAAAACCAAACUUACACACAGAAGUAUACUCACAAAAUAAUGAAAAUGAAAGAAAACAUUUAUGAAGAAUAAAAUAAUAAAAUAAGUACAGAGACUCUAUGAACAAGAGUUACAACUUUAAACCUCGAACAAAGAUCAUCAAUACAAAAUCAAACAACUAUGUUAUCUAAUUGUGAAAUUAUGUACCUCACAGCAGCUCCCCAAUUUAGUAAAAUUACACUUAACAAACAGGCACUAGUUGCUGGGGACACUAAAUCCCCAAGGAUGCCCAAAGCCUAUCCAAAGAGUUCUCUCAUUCCCACUAUAAUUCUGAAAAUUCUAUUAUUCCUCCACAACCAAAUCACCCAAAAAACAGCUAACAGAGUAGACAAGAUCAAAACAGUGGACAUAUAAUAUUUCCAGGAGAAACCUUUGGAAGUAAGAUAUGGAGUGUCAAAAUUCAUGUCUAGCAGAACAAAUCAAACUUCACUUGAAAAAGAGAAAAGGUCCAUGCAUCACAAAAGUCAACAAAUAUCAUAUAACUUAUUACUGCACCAUGCAGUAAUUCAAUUUUCUGCUAAGGCAGUUCACAGCUACUAUCAUGUGGACUAGGAAAAAUACAUUGUCCUCUACAAUUUAAACAAUGAGUGUGCAAUAGAAAGGAUAAUCCACUGAACAAUAUCCUCAGUCUAAUAACAUCAACAACAGAUUCAAAUGGAAAGUUUAAAACGUGAAAAGUUUGAUGCCACUCAAAUUUUGAAUGCAAAAUGUCAUGCACGACAAUGCAAAUAAUGGAUAUUUUCAAGACAUAUAACCUUUUCUAACAAAUGCUGUUUAAGGCGGGACAACUCUUGCAAGGCUUUGUCCCUUUCAAGGCGCAUUUCCUUCAAAUCUUUAUCAAACUUUUGUAACGAUUUCUCCAUUUCUUCCUUUCCAGGAAAACUUUCUGAAGAAUCUACCGGCUGCACAGAAUGUUAAAAAAAUACUAAUUUAAGUUAAAGAACUGGGUAUCAUAAUAUCAACCACCGAGUUAUGUCCAGCACGCAAAAACAUGACUAGUACAGUAAAGACAGACACACACGCACUUCCCCCACCCACACCUCCCAAGCCACUCGAAACAAUCAAAGGGAGAGGGAUUAGCUAGGAAGGAUUCCAUCCAAAUUGCACAAAAAAGCAAGUAUUGUGUUCCCCAAAAAUUCUCACACUGCACACGUAUUACCUCAUUCAAAUGAGUUGGGUGCUUAUUCAAAGAUUCAGAAGCAUCUAAGGAAUUUCUUUCAGUUGCAGUCCUGCUCGCUUUCAAUGCAACUUCAAGUUCAUCCUUCUCUAUCUAUAUACAAUGAAUAAAUGUUAGAGUGGAUUUUAUAAGGGGACAAUAACUAGAAACACAAAUUUUCAUCAAAACAUGAAAUUAUCAACCUUAAGACUACUAUUUUCCUUCUCCAGGGUUGCGAUUAAUCUUUUCAAACUACCAGCAACAUCAUCUGCAUUUUCAUCCUCCCGUCUAUUCAACUCCAUUUGCAAUCGAUUUAUCUCAGACAUUUUCUCCUUCAACACAUUGCUUAUUUUGCUUAUCUCGAUGGAGGUCUGCCAAAAGAAACAUGAGCAUGCCGUACCAAAAGGCAGAGGUCAGAGAACCAAAACAAGAAACAUAUGUGUACAUACAUAGCUGCCUCCAUAUCCAGCUGCUUAUGUCUAAUCAUAAGUAAAGAUAAUAAUAAAAAUUUGUACAUUUCCAAAUUAAUAUGGUAGUGAUGCCAGGAAAGAGAGCC